This 1118-nucleotide long non-coding RNA is filed under the name Parus major (Great Tit). RNAcentral describes it as "lncRNA (ENSPMJG00000001749.1)". The record is from RNAcentral. Lineage: Eukaryota; Metazoa; Chordata; Aves; Passeriformes; Paridae.
UGUCUGUGCAUAAUGCCUGUGUCAUCUCUACAGCAGAUCUCAAGAGCAAGAGAUUUACUGCAUGAUGCCGGCCACACCUUGAGCUGCUGCUCAGGGCAACAAAGGAGGAAAAUUAAGCUGUGAACUGGAAUUCGACAAGGCUGUCUACUGUGAAGCCCCGUGGCUUUAGAAAAGGGGCAGUAGUGGUCAGAAAUGACACUCAUAAGAGAACAGACAUUUUGGGAUCCCUGCCCAGCACCCAGCCAGGCUGAUGAUGCCUUUUACCUCUCUGGGGCUGUAUUCUAUAAUUUAGAUUGUUUGGAUUGUCUUCUGGACCUACACAUCCAACAAAUAACAUGUAAUUCAUGGAAUUCCAGUUCCUGUGAAAGAGAGAAGAUGGUUUUACUUCACACAACCAUCAAAGGAAAUGAGGGAGAAUAUCUCUGCCUAGCAAUCAAAAGGCAGCCUUGGGACCAUGCAGACCUGUUGCCUGUGACACUUCAUGAAAGGAGCAAGAACAGAGACAGGGACAUGCCUAGGAAUGCACAUCCAGCUUCUCCUCAGAAAAAAAAUGCAUCUUUCCUUCUUCCUUUCCCGUCUUUACUGAACUUGCCAGAAAUGUGUUUACCAUGGAGGUGGAUUUGUGUCUUCUUUCAUGAGAAAGGCUAUCUCAUUCAGCUAACCUGCUGAGGAUCCAAAUACUUUUGGACACUCCUGACUUGUUUAAAGCAGUGACUGAAAUGGGCAGGUCUGCUGGUCCCCAUUUGGAUCCAUUCUGGUAUUAGAGAGAUGGUUUAAUUUGAAUUUCUGAGUAUUUGUGUACCAAACCAGGAACUCCACCCCUAGCUCUUUGGCAUAAGGCCCAACGACCAAGUCUUUAGGAUUUAUCUGGUUGGUGAUUGGGUAUGAAGACUUGUUUUGUUCCCUGUGUUUUUUCCUGGUUUGUUUGCGGCUUUUUUGGUAAUAUUUAUAUAUUACAAAAUAUUGUCUGACUGUAAGAGCUACUCAAGAGAGAAAGUUUAUAAGUCUUUUUUGAUGGGGUAAACCUGUUUUUUUGAGGCAUCAAUACAAAAGAUGGCAAAAAAAACCUUAGAACAGUAUAUGUUUAGAAUUCCUAAAUUCCCCUAGAUAAUGGUGGG